UGCCUCUUGGUCUGGGACAACUGUUGGAAACGACAGCUAAUACCGGAUAUUAUGAGAUUCUCGCAUGGGAAACUUAUGAAAGCUAUAUGCGCCAAGAGAGAGCCUUGCGUUCCAUUAGCUAGUUGGUGGGGUAACGGCCCACCAAGGCGACGAUGGAUAGCCGGCCUGAGAGGGUGAACGGCCACAAGGGGACUGAGACACGGCCCUUACUCCUACGGGAGGCAGCAGUGGGGAAUAUUGGACAAUGGGCCACAAGCCUGAUCCAGCAAUUCUGUGUGCACGAUGAAGGUCUUCGGAUUGUAAAGUGCUUUCAGUUGGGAAGAAGAAAGUGACGGUACCAACAGAAGAAGCGACGGCUAAAUACGUGCCAGCAGCCGCGGUAAUACGUAUGUCGCAAGCGUUAUCCGGAUUUAUUGGGCGUAAAGCGCGUCUAGGCGGAAAAAUAAGUCUGAUGUUAAAAUGCGGGGCUCAACUCCGUAUUGCGUUGGAAACUGUUUUUCUAGAGUACUGGAGAGGUGGGCGGAACUACAAGUGUAGAGGUGAAAUUCGUA
RNAcentral lists this ribosomal RNA (551 nucleotides) under uncultured bacterium. Its description in RNAcentral is "bacterial SSU rRNA". It matches the Rfam family "Bacterial small subunit ribosomal RNA", at positions 127 to 692 of the family's 1533-position model. The record is from RNAcentral.